Long non-coding RNA from Corapipo altera (White-ruffed manakin), 987 nucleotides. RefSeq lists it as uncharacterized. The transcript is spliced from 3 exons. NCBI's taxonomy places the organism in Eukaryota, Metazoa, Chordata, Aves, Passeriformes, Pipridae. The record is from RefSeq and is a predicted model, not a curated record.
CCUGUAAAGCUGAUCUUGGAGACAAGACCCUCUAAUUCACAGCAUAAAAUCAUAGAAAUUACACAAAGCCAGACUUCAGAAAAAACGCACUAGAACGAAGUAAAAGGCCCAUGUGGAGAGAGUAGCACUGUCUUCUACUUCACUCCUGCAUUUUUAAUGCAGCAAAUGUUCACGUUUCUUCUCCUGAGUCUCCUGACUGCUGAACAAUCCAAAUGUCUAUUUUAGGACAACCUUAAGACCUCCAUAGAAUUACAGAUGCUACUCUGCUCUUAUAGGUACAGCCUCCCUGAAUUACACCAUCCUUCUAUAUCCAAAUACAUUGCUCAGAACUAAUGACUGCAUCUCUACCUUCGGAAGAAGGGCAUUGCUUUGGAGGAAAUGUUACAGGUUGCAGAAUUUUUGCUCAGUCUGUCCUUACUGGUUUGCUUUGAAGAAACUCAAUCUGAUGUAAGGAGCUGUUCGGAUUGUCUCCCUGCAUUAAGAGGAGGGCUUAGAUACAUUGUUCAAAAUUUCUUUCCAAAGGCUGUGUAUAUGGACCCCAAAUGAGUUUAUCAGGUAAAAUAUGCCUUUUUUUUUCUUCUUUUUCUUUUUUUUCAAUCUGUUUUGCCCAAGCCCAGAAGGAAUAUUAUCCAGUGCUGCUGUCUUCUACCACUCCAAUGAAUAUUCAAGUCUUUUUGUCACAAGAGCAGUAAUUCCGAUAAUUUUUAUUGGUAUUCUUUCCUGGCACUUCUAGGAAGGAUGUCCAAGUUUAAAGGGUCCAGCACAGUCUGCAACAUUUAUUAUUUAUUCAUUUAUUCUGAUUUAUUAUGCAAGCCUGAUCCUCCAUUAUCACUGGGGUUACCAGUUAAGUCUUCAGCUUUUAGCUACUUUCAUUCCCUUGAUACAUAGAUAACAGCAGACUAAUCAAGUAGUUCUCACUUCUCUACUCAGAAACAGAUAGGCAUUUCUUUAUCUUCUAUCUUAAUUUGAUCCCUCAAAUAAUGACCA